Molecule: ribosomal RNA, 301 nt
Filed under: uncultured bacterium
Lineage: Bacteria
Description: partial 16S ribosomal RNA
Rfam family: Bacterial small subunit ribosomal RNA
Source: RNAcentral
CAGCAGCCGCGGGAAUACGUAGGGUGCAAGUGCUAAUCGGAAUUACUGGGCGUAAAGCGUGCGCAGGCGGUUAUAUAAGUCAGAUGUGAAAGCCCACGGCUCAACCGUGGAGGGUCAUUGGAAGCUGUUAAACUUGAGUGCAGGAGAGAAAAGUGGAAUUCCUAGUGUAGCGGUGAAAUGCGUAGAGAUUAGGAGGAACACCAGUGGCGAAGGCGGCUUUUUGGCCUGUAACUGACACUGAGGCGCGAAAGCGUGGGGAGCAAACAGGAUUAGAUACCCGAGUAGUCCCUGUCUCUUAUAA